GACGAACGCUGGCGGCGUGCCUAAUACAUGCAAGUCGAGCGAAUCUUUAGGAGCUUGCUCCUAUUGGUUAGCGGCGGACGGGUGAGUAACACGUGGGCAACCUGCCUGUAAGACUGGGAUAACUUCGGGAAACCGGAGCUAAUACCGGAUAAUCCUUUUCCUCUCAUGAGGAAAAGACUGAAAGACGGUUUCGGCUGUCACUUACAGAUGGGCCCGCGGCGCAUUAGCAGUUGGUGAGGUAACGGCUCACCAAGGCGACGAUGCGUAGCCGACCUGAGAGGGUGAUCGGCCACACUGGGAC
RNAcentral lists this ribosomal RNA (301 nucleotides) under uncultured bacterium. Its description in RNAcentral is "bacterial SSU rRNA". It matches the Rfam family "Bacterial small subunit ribosomal RNA", at positions 28 to 319 of the family's 1533-position model. The record is from RNAcentral.